GGUCCCAUCGUCUAGCCCGGUCUAGGACACGAGCUUUUCAAGCUCGGUACGCGGGUUCGAAUCCCGCUGGGACCA
RNAcentral lists this transfer RNA (75 nucleotides) under Candidatus Terrybacteria bacterium RIFCSPHIGHO2_01_FULL_48_17. Its description in RNAcentral is "tRNA-Glu". It matches the Rfam family "tRNA". Rfam says of the family: Transfer RNA (tRNA) molecules are approximately 80 nucleotides in length. Their secondary structure includes four short double-helical elements and three loops (D, anti-codon, and T loops). RNAcentral also lists the same sequence under 1 other name. Lineage: Bacteria; Candidatus Terryibacteriota. The record is from RNAcentral.